Molecule: transfer-messenger RNA, 351 nt
Filed under: bacterium
Lineage: Bacteria
Rfam family: transfer-messenger RNA
About the family: Bacterial tmRNA, also known as 10Sa RNA or SsrA, is named for its dual tRNA and mRNA-like properties. Its role is to liberate the mRNA from a stalled ribosome. To accomplish this part of the tmRNA is used as a reading frame that ends in a translation stop signal.
Source: RNAcentral
GGGGGCGUUUGGAUUCGACGGGGUUGAGGGUGAGAGAGGCUGCAUGCCGAGGUGCCACCAACCUCGUAAAACAGGUGGCAAAAAACAACUGCCGACGCGAACUACGCUCUGGCGGCAUAAUUUGAGCCGCCACGUCCUCUUCCGGGUCUCCCCGCUACCUGGAAGAAGGGCGUCAUGAGAGCGGGGUGCCCUUCCUCUUUUCUCCCCGGGAGGAAGGUAAGAUCGAGGGGAGGGAACCCUCACAGAAUCCGGUCCCGGGGAGUCUGUGGGGGUAAAAAACCGGGACUAAGCAUGUAGAGGCCUCUCAGGCCCCUUCUCCGGACGCGGGUUCGAGUCCCGCCGCCUCCAUUU